CACAAGCAGCAGCUCCACGUACUUCGUAGCCUGCAGAGCUUCCCGCCUCACCUGUGGCCAUGGAGCCCUGGUGGCCGCAGGCUCCUGCUGGCAUCUUCAGGUCAUCCAGCCUGUAGAUCCGGUGCUGGUCUGUGCUGUCAGGAAGCGGCUCCAGGACAUAGCUGAAAUUGCUUCUCAGUACGAUGAGGCCUCGCAGCCCUUGACACGAACUGAGCGUCACGCUGGAGUGCUCUCUGCCCCGCACCACCCCCUGGUAAAAGCAGUGCUCAGUGUGGGCCAGUGGGAUGGUCCGUGCUUGUCCUGUCUGGCUGUAGUGAGUCUCAGUGUAGCCUGGUGCAAACAGGUCUCCAUUUUUCUCUAAGUCCAAGAUGAGCUCCUGGCCUUCUGCCCGUAUCCUAACUUCAGCUCGGAGUGGAUGCUGCUCUCCGCCGGGGCUCCGCAGCACGUCCCAGCUCGACACCAGCACGGCGGGCUGCGGCUCGGUGCUACCAGCCUCCGCGCUGCACGGCGGCGGCUGCAGCAGCAGCGAGAGGGCGAUCCCGCAGAGCAGCCCCCAGCCCCGCAUGGCUCCACGCUGGACUCGGCUCGUCACCGCAACCCCUCGUAUAUAGAAGCUCCCGGCCCGG
This 626-nucleotide long non-coding RNA is filed under the name Gallus gallus (chicken). The record is from RNAcentral. Lineage: Eukaryota; Metazoa; Chordata; Aves; Galliformes; Phasianidae.